Molecule: ribosomal RNA, 451 nt
Filed under: uncultured Natronorubrum sp.
Lineage: Archaea; Methanobacteriati; Methanobacteriota; Halobacteria; Halobacteriales; Natrialbaceae
Description: bacterial SSU rRNA
Rfam family: Archaeal small subunit ribosomal RNA
Source: RNAcentral
GCUAGUCGCGCGGGUUCAGACCCGCGGCCAACAGCUCCGUAACACGUGGCCAAACUACCCUGUGGACCGGGAUACCCUCGGGAAACUGAGACUAAUCCCGGAUACGAACCCCGCGCUGGAAUAGCGGGGGUCCGAAAACGCCCCGGCGCCACAGGAUGUGGCUGCGGCCGAUUAGGUUGACGGUGGGGUAACGGCCCACCGUGCCGAUAAUCGGUACGGGUCGUGAGAGCGAGCGCCCGGAGACGGACUCUGAGACAAGAGUCCGGGCCCUACGGGGCGCAGCAGGCGCGAAACCUUUACACUGCACGCCAGUGCGAUAAGGGGAUUCCGAGUGCGAGGACAUACUAGUCCUCGCUUUUCUGGACGGUAAGGACGUCCAGGAACAAGGGCUGGGCAAGACCGGUGCCAGCCGCCGCGGUAAUACCGGCAGCCCGAGUGAUGACCGCUCUUA